AGCGAACGCUGGCGGCAGGCCUAACACAUGCAAGUCGAACGAACCCUUCGGGCUUAGUGGCGGACGGGUGGGUAACACGUGGGAACGUGCCUUUUGGUUCGGAAUAACUCAGGGAAACUUGAGCUAAUACCGAAUGUGCUCUUCGGGGGAAAGAUUUAUCGCCAUAAGAGCGGCCCGCGUCUGAUUAGCUAGUUGGUGAGGUAACGGCUCACCAAGGCGACGAUCAGUAGCUGGUCUGAGAGGAUGACCAGCCACACUGGGACUGAGACACGGCCCAGACUCCUACGGGAGGCAGCAGUGGGGAAUAUUGCGCAAUGGGCGAAAGCCUGACGCAGCCAUGCCGCGUGAAUGAUGAAGGUCUUAGGAUUGUAAAAUUCUUUCACCGGGGACGAUAAUGACGGUACCCGGAGAAGAAGCCCCGGCUAACUUCGUG
This 433-nucleotide ribosomal RNA is filed under the name uncultured bacterium. RNAcentral describes it as "partial 16S ribosomal RNA". It matches the Rfam family "Bacterial small subunit ribosomal RNA", at positions 29 to 507 of the family's 1533-position model. The record is from RNAcentral.